This 1482-nucleotide ribosomal RNA is filed under the name metagenome. RNAcentral describes it as "bacterial SSU rRNA". It matches the Rfam family "Bacterial small subunit ribosomal RNA". The record is from RNAcentral.
AGAGUUUGAUCAUGGCUCAGGAUGAACGCUAGCGACAGGCUUAACACAUGCAAGUCGAGGGGCACACAGGUAGCAAUACCGGGUGGCGACCGGCGCACGGGUGAGUAACGCGUAUGCAACUUGCCUAUCAGAGGGGGAUAACCCGGCGAAAGUCGGACUAAUACCGCAUGAAGCAGGGAUCCCGCAUGGGAAUAUUUGCUAAAGAUUCAUCGCUGAUAGAUAGGCAUGCGUUCCAUUAGGCAGUUGGCGGGGUAACGGCCCACCAAACCGACGAUGGAUAGGGGUUCUGAGAGGAAGGUCCCCCACAUUGGUACUGAGACACGGACCAAACUCCUACGGGAGGCAGCAGUGAGGAAUAUUGGUCAAUGGGCGUAAGCCUGAACUAGCCAAGUCGCGUGAGGGAUGAAGGUUCUAUGGAUCGUAAACCUCUUUUGUAAGGGAAUAAAGUGCGGGACGUGUCCCGUUUUGUAUGUACCUUAUGAAUAAGGAUCGGCUAACUCCGUGCCAGCAGCCGCGGUAAUACGGAGGAUCCGAGCGUUAUCCGGAUUUAUUGGGUUUAAAGGGUGCGUAGGCGGCCUUUUAAGUCAGCGGUGAAAGUCUUUGGCUCAACCAUAGAAUUGCCGUUGAAACUGGGAGGCUUGAGUAUGUUUGAGGCAGGCGGAAUGCGUGGUGUAGCGGUGAAAUGCUUAGAUAUCACGCAGAACCCCGAUUGCGAAGGCAGCCUGCCAAGCCAUGACUGACGCUGAUGCACGAAAGCGUGGGGAUCGAACAGGAUUAGAUACCCUGGUAGUCCACGCAGUAAACGAUGAUCACUAGCUGUUUGCGAUACACAGUAAGCGGCACAGCGAAAGCGUUAAGUGACCCACCUGGGGAGUACGCCGGCAACGGUGAAACUCAAAGGAAUUGACGGGGGCCCGCACAAGCGGAGGAACAUGUGGUUUAAUUCGAUGAUACGCGAGGAACCUUACCCGGGUUUGAACGCAUUCGGACCGAGGUGGAAACACCUUUUCUAGCAAUAGCCGUUUGCGAGGUGCUGCAUGGUUGUCGUCAGCUCGUGCCGUGAGGUGUCGGCUUAAGUGCCAUAACGAGCGCAACCCUUGCCACUAGUUACUAACAGGUAAAGCUGAGGACUCUGGCGGGACUGCCAGCGUAAGCUGCGAGGAAGGCGGGGAUGACGUCAAAUCAGCACGGCCCUUACAUCCGGGGCGACACACGUGUUACAAUGGCGUGGACAAGGGGAGGCCACCUGGCGACAGGGAGCGAAUCCCCAAACCACGUCUCAGUUCGGAUCGGAGUCUGCAACCCGACUCCGUGAAGCUGGAUUCGCUAGUAAUCGCGCAUCAGCCAUGGCGCGGUGAAUACGUUCCCGGGCCUUGUACACACCGCCCGUCAAGCCAUGGGAGCCGGGGGUACCUGAAGUCCGUAACCGCAAGGAUCGGCCUAGGGUAAAACUGGUGACUGGGGCUAAGUCGUAACAAGGUA